RNAcentral lists this ribosomal RNA (981 nucleotides) under Triticum aestivum (bread wheat). RNAcentral's name for it is "partial small subunit ribosomal RNA". Lineage: Eukaryota; Viridiplantae; Streptophyta; Magnoliopsida; Poales; Poaceae. The record is from RNAcentral.
AUGGCGGCGCAAGAGAAUACCCAAUUUUCCAGCCGCGAUGGAAGCCAAGAUCAGCUUGUUGUCAUCUCCGACACUCUUAAGCUGCUGCACCCUGUCGCCACUACUUUUGCAGUACUGGCAGCUUAUGCACUGUUGCUUAUGAUCAGUACAAACUACAUCCAAAUAGCUGCGAUCCCGGCUAUCAUACUUGCUUUCAUUGGUGCUUUGUGGGGCAAUUUCUGGGUCAAGGGAAGACUUCAGCAUAGAAACAACAAUGGAACUGCUGCUAAUCCAGCUUGGAGGAUGCUGCUACCCACGGUACUACUGUCGUAUUGUUUGCAGCUAAUCCAGCUUGCCUGUGCACAAGCGACCAACGGACAACAAAGUGACAAUUUCCUUCUCUCUCACUCCCUCCUCUUCUUUAGUUCCGCGCUUGGUGCACUGGCCGUGAUGAUUUCUGCGCUGCCCAUCAGAGCCAAUCAAUGUGUGGCGCAGGGGCAGCAACUGAUUCACAGGACCUUCAUUGUGGUUUUUAUGAUAGCAGUGCACAUCAUGGCUACAGAACAGAUGGUGGAGGGCAUGUUACUGGUUUGCAUGCCGGAGUUUAUUGCAUCACUUGUGUGGUUCACUGUUAAUUUUGAUCACGCCAGAUGUAUGGCGUACAUCGACAAGGUAACAUCACGCAAAUCAACAGUCAGCUUUCUCACUGCAGCAGUGGCUCUGUUAGCGUUCAUGUUUGCAUAUGAGAACGAGAUGGUACUUGCUAAUUACUGGCACAGAAGAAUCCUGUACUCCUGUACCUUGUCAGGGCUUCUAUCCUGCUUGUGCGUGUGUAUGAUCCUGCAGUGGCGGCCGGAUAUCUCUGCUAAUGUGUCCCUUGACUGGCCGAGCGAUAGUGCGAUCAUUUCCAUAAGGAUCCUCGAAUUCUCGGCACUGAUUUGCUUUGCUAUGUCAGCUGUGCUUCUCUUCAUUGGGUUCCUCUUGAAUUACUCAAUUCUGUAG